GCUAGAGUAUGAUAGAGGAAAGCAGAAUUUCUAGUGUAGAGGUGAAAUUCGUAGAUAUUAGAAAGAAUACCAAUUGCGAAGGCAGCUUUCUGGAUCAUUACUGACACUGAGGAACGAAAGCAUGGGUAGCGAAGAGGAUUAGAUACCCUCGUAGUCCAUGCCGUAAACGAUGUGUGUUAGACGUUGGAAAUUUAUUUUCAGUGUCGCAGCGAAAGCGAUAAACACACCGCCUGGGGAGUACGACCGCAAGGUUAAAACUCAAAUGAAUUGACGGGGACCCGCACAAGUAGUGGAGCAUGUGGUUUAAUUCGAAGAUACGCGCAGAACCUUACCAACACUUGACAUGUUCGUCGCGACUCUAAGAGAUUAGAGUUUUCGGUUCGGCCGGACGAAACACAGGUGCUGCAUGGCUGUCGUCAGCUCGUGUCGUGAGAUGUUGGGUUAAGUCCCGCAACGAGCGCAACCCUCACUUUUAGUUGCCAUCAUUUAGUUGGGCACUCUGAAAGAACUGCCAGUGAUAAGCUGGAGGAAGGUGGGGAUGACGUCAAGUCCUCAUGGCCCUUACGUGUUGGGCUACACACGUGCUACAAUGGCAUCUACAACAGGAAGCAAAACGGCAACGUUAAGCAAAUCCCGAAAAGAUGCCUCAGUUCGGAUUGCACUCUGCAACUCGAGUGCAUGAAGCUGGAAUUACUAGUAAUCGUGGAUCAGCGUGCCACGGUGAAUGCGUUCCCGGGUCUUGUACACACCGCCCGUCACACCAUGGGAGUUGGUUCUACCUUAAGGCAAGGUUUUAAACCCUUGACCACGGUAUAGUCAGCGACUGGGGUGAAGUCGUAACAAGGUAACC
RNAcentral lists this ribosomal RNA (850 nucleotides) under uncultured bacterium. Its description in RNAcentral is "bacterial SSU rRNA". It matches the Rfam family "Bacterial small subunit ribosomal RNA", at positions 640 to 1501 of the family's 1533-position model. The record is from RNAcentral.